Molecule: transfer RNA, 75 nt
Filed under: Elusimicrobia bacterium HGW-Elusimicrobia-1
Lineage: Bacteria; Pseudomonadati; Elusimicrobiota
Description: tRNA-Gln
Rfam family: tRNA
About the family: Transfer RNA (tRNA) molecules are approximately 80 nucleotides in length.
Source: RNAcentral
UGCCGGGUGGUGUAAUGGUAACACGCCUGCCUCUGGAGCAGGAUACUCUAGGUUCGAGUCCUAGCCCGGCAGCCA